This is a long non-coding RNA of Uranotaenia lowii, 761 nucleotides long. RefSeq lists it as uncharacterized. The record is from RefSeq and is a predicted model, not a curated record. NCBI's taxonomy places the organism in Eukaryota, Metazoa, Arthropoda, Insecta, Diptera, Culicidae. The transcript has 3 exons.
ACCGUCAUCCAGUGGCCUAGAAUAUCUUGGUGGGUGAUCUCUAUUGGAUAACCAGCUUGCACAGAUGGCUAUUAAAACAUUACUGUGAACUAUUUUUUCUCGUAAACUAAUUGGCUCUUGAAGAAAAACCCCGGUGUACCUUACAUCAAAAGAGUAAAACGAAACCCCAAAACUCAGCACCUGAAGGAACUGCUUGCUCACAUUUAAACAAAAAAGUUGUAAACGAUCAUACUAUGAGAAACUUCUGAAUAAUACUCCUCACUCAAAGUUAUGGAAAAAUAUUAACUCAAUUUUAGAAAAUAAGCAUCAAGUUUGUCAGUUAGUUGAUUUUUUCACACACUGUAAAAUUUUGCCUCGAUUUCCAGCAAAAAAAAUUGCUGGAAACGUUCAGCAAUCGAAAUUUUCGCUGGAAACCAGCAAUCUGUUUUCGAAUUGCUGGUUUUCAGCAUUCGGUUGUGUUCUUGUCAUUUUUGCUGAAAAAUCAGCAAUCGGUUUUCAAAUUGCUGGACUUUCCAGCAUUUGAUCUAGUUUGCUGGAAAAUCAGCAAUCGAGUUGUCAAUUUGGAGUUUGUUUUUGUUCCGUACGCUGAAGGAAGCAACCAGAUAACAAGUCAAUGGUGGCAGAUGAUCAACACUUUGGCACAAAGCUGCCAGCCCAGAGCCGUUGUUAUAGAAUAUUGAAAAAAAAAUCGUGUUUCUGGAAAUAAGUACAUCCCUCUAUUGAAAAAUGGGAGGAAAUAAUUGUUUUUAUUGCUUAUUAUA